CCCUUAGAUGUCCUGGGCCGCACGCGCGCUACACUGAACGGAUCAGCGCGUUUUCCCUUCCCGAGAGGGACGGGUAACCUGCUGAACCCCGUUCGUGGUAGGGAUCGGGGCUUGCAAUUAUUCCCCGUGAACCAGGAAUGCCCAGUAAGUGCAAGUCAUAAGCUUGCGUUGAUUACGUCCCUGCCCUUUGUACACACCGCCCGUCGCCACUACCGAUUGAACGUUUUAGUGAGGUACUCGGACUGAGCCUCAGAAGAUUCACGUCUUUUGUGCUGCUCGGGAAGAUUCCCAAACUUGAGCGUUUAGAGGAAGUAAAAGUCGUAACA
RNAcentral lists this ribosomal RNA (326 nucleotides) under uncultured eukaryote. RNAcentral describes it as "partial 18S ribosomal RNA". It matches the Rfam family "Eukaryotic small subunit ribosomal RNA", at positions 1470 to 1796 of the family's 1831-position model. The record is from RNAcentral.